AUCCAGCCGACGAGUUCCAACUAGGACAAAACGCGCGUCAAACUGGAU
Schistosoma curassoni is the source of this 48-nucleotide non-coding RNA. Lineage: Eukaryota; Metazoa; Platyhelminthes; Trematoda; Strigeidida; Schistosomatidae. The record is from Rfam.